CUUGAUCGAGCCCAGCAGCAGCGGCGUGCCCCGGUCCCGGCCGUACGUGGCGAGCAGCGCCUGCGCCUC
Molecule: non-coding RNA, 69 nt
Organism: Cryptosporangium arvum DSM 44712
Lineage: Bacteria; Bacillati; Actinomycetota; Actinomycetes; Cryptosporangiales; Cryptosporangiaceae
Rfam family: ASpks TB sRNA
Source: Rfam